Non-coding RNA from Gasterosteus aculeatus aculeatus (three-spined stickleback), 2606 nucleotides. The record is from RefSeq and is a predicted model, not a curated record. Lineage: Eukaryota; Metazoa; Chordata; Actinopteri; Perciformes; Gasterosteidae.
UACUUUUAGCGGUAACGAGCAUGUAACAAAGUAUUUUUUUAACGCAGUUACAAUUAUUGAAAUUUAAAUUAGUUCGUUAUGCGCGUUACUCUCUUUUGUGAAAAAUGAACACUUGCAGACAAGAAGACAAGAUAGGCCUACUUUAGCUGCUUCUGAUCUGACAGCGCAGGACCUUGGUGGCGCAAUGAUACACCAAUCGAAUCACUCAAUGAGCAUUAAACCACAUCAUGGCCGACACGUGCGGAAUGAGCUUUCUCUCCUGGAAGUAUGGACAGUACUUUUCGCUCGUCGAAAGUAAAGACAAAAAUGUAGUGGUGAGUUGUAAAUUAUGUGCAGGUGCAAAGACCCUAUCCACAUCUAAGAGUAGCAAUUCCAAUCUUAUGAAUCUGUUGAAACAACACGCUACGACAAAGCUAGUAGCGAAAGACCCCAGCCCUACGGAUGCUGAAGGUGCCACUCCAUGCAAAUAACCAAGGCUAGACUUUACACGGACUGCAGUGCAGCCGAUAAGCCAGGCAGAGCUGAAUAAAUUGAUUCCUAGGUAUGUUGUCGAUGACAUGCAUCCUCUGUCAACUGUCGAGUCAGUUGCCUUCAGGCAACUAAUAAGCAAAAUUUCGGUUAUAAAUGGAGGCUCGGGGCAAAUGUGCAGGAACACGUUUUCCAGCUAUUUAGACAGAGAAUAUGCGAAAAUGCAGGUCGAGCUAAAGAAAACAUUUGAGGGUUUACAACAUGUCUCUACCACAUCAGACAUCUGGACUGCUUACAAUAAAAGCUUUCUAGGUGUAACUGCACACUGGAUUAAUCCGAACAAAAUGCUACGUGGGAAAUCAGCCCUGGCAUGCCAGAGAUUCAAGGGCCGACAUACGACAUAUGACAUUAUUGCAACCGAAAUAGACAACAUCCACAAUGGCUCUAAUCUUGUCAAGGCGUUUUAAAUGUACCAGCCACCUGAGCCAGACACUGAAGAUCAUUUGGAGGAGGAUGAGGCGACUUUUACAAACAUUGGGGAUGUGCUAGAUAAUGCUGUCGAUGUCAAUGACGUGGUUUUACCCCCGCAUCACAGAUGCGCAUUGCACACAUUGAACCUCAUCUCAUGCACUGAUGUCGAUAAGUGGCUAAUGUCAAAGCCAGAAAUGAAAUCUAUCUACAGAAAUGCUACCACAAAAUGCGCAGGGCUGUGGAACAAGGCAAGUCGGUCAACGAUGGCUUCGGAGAUUGUCAACGACGUUAUUGCUAAGAAGCGCUUGUACCUUGCACCACCAGGUGGAAUUUGUUCUAUGAUGCGGUAGCUCGAAUUUCUGAGAUACCUGUGGCCGAAUUGAAUACAAUAUCCUCACAACUUCAGAUGAAAUGCAUCAAUGAAAGGGAACAUCAGGUCCUUAAAGAGUAUUGUGUAGUGAUGAAGCCACUUACUGUGGCUUUUGACAUUCUGCAAAGCGAGGACAAUUGUUUUUACGGAACACUCUUGCCCACUCUGGAGACGUUGAUGUCUAAUACUCUGGAUUAAAAAAAACACCUCGCAAUCCUUGAUGGCCUACCAGAGGCAAUUAUUCAGGUAAGAGCUGCUAUUUUAUUUUGCAUUUAUAUGUAUCCAAUCAAUAGCUCAGUUGCAUUUAUUGGUGUCUACAUAAUGUGAAGUAUUUAUAAGUGCAGGUCAAUUUAGUAGUGACUGCUCUGUAGUCAGAUUUAUGCUAUAUCCUAAAUAUGUAUAAUGCACUUGUUUUUAAGACUUGUUUUAAUACUCUUGUUAUGUCUUUUGUGUCAUGUAUUUCAGGCAAUCAAAACCAGAUUUGCGCGUGUUCUUGAGGAUAAUGAUGCUCUACUAGCUGCUGCAACCCUACCCUACCCUACCCUAAGUUCAAGUUAGGUUGGCUGCGUGACCAGGAGAGGAAGGACCUUGUAAAAGCAAGUCUAGUAGCAGAAUGCAGAAAAUAUGUCCCAGAGCAGGAUGAGCACCCAGGGGAAACCCCAACAACACAGCGCCGGCCAUCUACCAAAGAGGAUGAAUUCUUUAGCUUUGAUGAGAACACAGCAUCGCCACGUGAUGGUGAGGAGUCUGGUAUCACAGGAUCAACUAACCUCAAAUGUAAUUUCACAUCCACCAAUAAAACUGGGACCCUCUCCCCCAGUAGUGACUCAUGGGGCAUCAGUUCCUCCCUGCUCGUGUGUGGAGUGCAAUUCGCUGUGCUGUUUCUUCUCUUAAUUGUGACGGCCUUUUAUCCUUGGAGGAAAAAGAAAAACAAGUUGUCCGUCGACGGGUUGAACAUCAGGAGAAUUCCGUUAUGAUGGUUGUGUUCUGAUCUUUGACUUUGUGAAUCCAGAGUCGUCUGACUCUUUUCACUCGGUCACUAAAGUCUCUAGUGAGAGAGGGACGCUUUCCUUUUGAUUUAUUGUGGUAUGGAGAUCGUCUUGUUGUGAAGUGCACCGCUGCCUUUGGAGACGGAUGAAGCGUACGCAGCAAAGUCAAAUGGACACUGAAACUCUGAAACUCAUUUUGAUUUUGGAUAUGAUGGUACACUAGAGUUCCACCUUGUGUCACGGUGUGGUUCACUUCCUGUUAUAUUUUGUAGUUUUCUGCCACUCGUGUCCCCGGGUAACUUCACUUC